This 434-nucleotide long non-coding RNA is filed under the name Cyanistes caeruleus (blue tit). RNAcentral describes it as "lncRNA (ENSCCEG00000004113.1)". The record is from RNAcentral. Lineage: Eukaryota; Metazoa; Chordata; Aves; Passeriformes; Paridae.
AAAAACGUGGAAUUCUUGGGAAAAACAGAAAAUUUUGGGGAAAAACCACGAAAUUCCUGGAAAAAAAUGAGGAAUUGUUGGGAAAAAAUGCAGAAUUCCCAGGAAAAAUAUGGAAUUCUUGGGAAAAACCAUGGAAUUCCCAGGAAAAAAUACGGAGUUCCCAGGAAAAACAUGGAAUUCUUGGGGAAAAAUGUGGAAUUCUUGGGAAAAAAUGUGGAAUUUUUGGGGAAAACGUGGAAUUUUUGGGAAAAAAUGCGGAAUUUUGGGAAAAAAUGCAGAAUUUUUUGGGAAAACCAUUGAAUUCCCAGGAAAAACUCGGAUUUCUCAGGAAAAACUCGGAUUUCUCAGGAAAAGACGCAGAAUUUUUGGGAAAAAACCUGAAAUUCCCAGGAAAAAACACAAAAUUCCCAGGAAAAAAGGAGGAAUUCUCGGGA